UACCCAGUGGCGAAGGCGGCCCCCUGGACAGAUACUGACACUCAGAUGCGAAAGCGUGGGGAGCAAACAGGAUAAGAUACCCUGGUAGUCCACGCCGUAAACGAUGUCUACUUGGAGGUUGUGGCCUUGAGCCGUGGCUUUCGGAGCUAACGCGUUAAGUAGACCGCCUGGGGAGUACGGUCGCAAGAUUAAAACUCAAAUGAAUUGACGGGGGCCCGCACAAGCGGUGGAGCAUGUGGUUUAAUUCGAUGCAACGCGAAGAACCUUACCUACUCUUGACAUCCAGAGAACUUGCUAGAGAUAGCUUGGUGCCUUCGGGAACUCUGAGACAGGUGCUGCAUGGCUGUCGUCAGCUCGUGUUGUGAAAUGUUGGGUUAAGUCCCGCAACGAGCGCAACCCUUAUCCUUGUUUGCCAGCACGUAAUGGUGGGAACUCCAGGGAGACUGCCGGUGAUAAACCGGAGGAAGGUGGGGACGACGUCAAGUCAUCAUGGCCCUUACGAGUAGGGCUACACACGUGCUACAAUGGCGCAUACAGAGGGCAGCCAACCAGCGAUGGUGAGCGAAUCCCAAAAAGUGCGUCGUAGUCCGGAUUGGAGUCUGCAACUCGACUCCAUGAAGUCGGAAUCGCUAGUAAUCGUGAAUCAGAAUGUCACGGUGAAUACGUUCCCGGGCCUUGUACACA
This 684-nucleotide ribosomal RNA is filed under the name uncultured bacterium. RNAcentral's name for it is "bacterial SSU rRNA". It matches the Rfam family "Bacterial small subunit ribosomal RNA", at positions 706 to 1389 of the family's 1533-position model. The record is from RNAcentral.